Molecule: transfer RNA, 65 nt
Filed under: marine eukaryotic metagenome
Rfam family: tRNA
About the family: Transfer RNA (tRNA) molecules are approximately 80 nucleotides in length. Their secondary structure includes four short double-helical elements and three loops (D, anti-codon, and T loops).
Source: RNAcentral
UCGGUGGCGAAGCGGUAACGCAUCGGUCUGCAAAACCGAUAUACACGGGUUCGAUUCCCGUCCGG